UACAGAGGGGGCAAGCGUUGUUCGGAAUUACUGGGCGUAAAGGGUGCGUAGGCGGUCGGGUAAGUCUGACGUGAAAUCUUCAAGCUCAACUUGGAAACUGCGUCCGAUACUAUUCGGCUAGAGGAAUGGAGGGGAGACUGGAAUACUUGGUGUAGCAGUGAAAUGCGUAGAUAUCAAGUGGAACACCAGUGGCGAAGGCGAGUCUCUGGACAUUUCCUGACGCUGAGGCACGAAAGCCAGGGGAGCAAACGGG
This 253-nucleotide ribosomal RNA is filed under the name uncultured bacterium. Its description in RNAcentral is "partial 16S ribosomal RNA". It matches the Rfam family "Bacterial small subunit ribosomal RNA", at positions 524 to 776 of the family's 1533-position model. The record is from RNAcentral.